RNAcentral lists this transfer RNA (77 nucleotides) under Syntrophales bacterium. RNAcentral's name for it is "tRNA-Met". It matches the Rfam family "tRNA". From Rfam's summary of the family: Transfer RNA (tRNA) molecules are approximately 80 nucleotides in length. Their secondary structure includes four short double-helical elements and three loops (D, anti-codon, and T loops). The record is from RNAcentral. Lineage: Bacteria; Pseudomonadati; Thermodesulfobacteriota; Syntrophia; Syntrophales.
CGCGGGGUGGAGCAGUCAGGUAGCUCGUUGGGCUCAUAACCCAAAGGUCAGAGGUUCGAAUCCUCUCCCCGCUACCA